UACGGAGGGUGCGAGCGUUGUCCGGAUUUAUUGGGCUUAAAGGGUGCGUAGGCGGCUUUUUAAGUCUGGGGUGAAAGCCCGCUGCUCAACAGCGGAACGGCCCUGGAUACUGGAGAGCUUGAGUACAGACGAGGUUGGCGGAAUGGACGGAGUAGCGGUGAAAUGCAUAGAUACCGGCCAGAACCCCGAUGGCGGAGGCAGCUGACUAGGCUGAUACUGACGCUGAGGCACGAAAGCGUGGGGAGCGAACAGG
RNAcentral lists this ribosomal RNA (253 nucleotides) under uncultured bacterium. RNAcentral describes it as "partial 16S ribosomal RNA". It matches the Rfam family "Bacterial small subunit ribosomal RNA", at positions 524 to 776 of the family's 1533-position model. The record is from RNAcentral.